RNAcentral lists this long non-coding RNA (728 nucleotides) under Nicotiana benthamiana. RNAcentral's name for it is "long non-coding RNA (NBEN_LNC040384)". Lineage: Eukaryota; Viridiplantae; Streptophyta; Magnoliopsida; Solanales; Solanaceae. The record is from RNAcentral.
AGAAACCGGCUGCCAACCGCAUUCAGGCCAAAGCACCUAAGCAAUAAACACAAGUCAAUUUCAUAUCUUCAACAAAGGCCAUUCUAUUAGAAGCACAGACAAUCAUAUUUGUCAGCAAUUAUAGGCUUUUCCAUUCAUACAUGGCUAAUUUAUGACAUAUCUUCAUCAAAGGCCAUUCUGUUAGAAGCACAGAUAGUCAUAUUUGUCAGCAAUUAUGGGCUUUUCCAUUCAUACAUAGCUAAUUUAUGAAUGUCAAUCAGAAAAAUCAUGAUUUUCCGUAUAACCAACGCAUUUGGUCUCAGUAGAUGUUCCAUAUAUUUGUAUAUUUUUUGGUGAAUUUCUAUAGUUGAACGCAAAAUUCUUUAUCUGAUAUGAAGGCUUUGUUUUUGUCUGGUGUUUUUCUUUAACACCAGUGUUUUUCUUCUAGCUGUCCGCACCAGACAGGUAGAGCCAACAAUCACCGCCCAAAAAACAAAACGUGACAGUGAUUAGCAAGUAAAUACAUAGACGGAAAAAUAUAUCGAAUGUGUGUAUCAGUUAUUCGGUAAUCUUUUUACUAUACAAAGAAACAUGCCCUUGGAUUUUUCUUUUCUCUUGUUAACUAGGUGAUGUGUUAAGUAUCAGUUAUUCGGUAAUUUUUCACUGUAGAAACAUGCCCUUGGAUUUCUCCUUUCUCUUGUUAACUAGGUGAUGUGUUAAGUGGAGUGAGCAGUUCAGGUGUGCAACUG